GUGCUCGCUUCGGCAGCAUAUAUACUAAAA
RNAcentral lists this small nuclear RNA (30 nucleotides) under Cervus elaphus hippelaphus. Lineage: Eukaryota; Metazoa; Chordata; Mammalia; Artiodactyla; Cervidae. The record is from RNAcentral.